UUUCUUUAAAUAAGACAGGUUGUGUCAUAACAACCAACGUUUUAAUUGCCUACUAACCAAUUACUUACUAUAAAAAACAAGAUUCAUCUGUUUUAAUAACUUAUGAGUCCUGUCUUCUUUUAUACUGCAAUCCAUUGCUGGGCAUACUUUAUUUUAAUUUUUUUAACGUGUAACUUUCUACGUCGAAUAAUACUUGUUUUACCUUUAACGCUUGAGAAAUUUCAUCGUGAUGUUGAAGGUUCAUAUCAAGGAACUUUGGCGUAUGUUCGAAGCAAAAAAGUAUUAAUAACGGCAUGCUUUUUAAUCCAUUGCUUUAAAUUAAUUUUUUUGAUCUUCUUUGAUGUUACAUUGACAGCGAUUGACAAAACACGUUUUUACUGGUUUGUUAUUUUCAACUAUUUAACGGAUAAGAGUACGAAGGAAUAUGAAGUGUUUUUACACUCACCCGUUUAUAAAGAUCGACCUAAAACACGCCCUGUGUUAGUCAGCAAACAAAAAAAAAUUUUUUUUGUACGUCAUGGGGAAUCUUUAUGGAAUAAAACAUUCAAUCGACCCAAUGUAUUUGUUUUACCAUUAAGGAUCUUGUAUAUUCUUUUCCUUGAAUUUUUUUUUUUCUUUUCUCACGAUUCAAUUUUAUGUGAUUCACCAUUAAGUACAUCAGGAGAAAAUCAAGCUUUUUUUUUAAAAAAAUGGAUUCAAAAUAAGAAAACGAAAACUUCAACUAACGAUUUUUUUCUAUUAAUUGAUUCCAACAAAGAAAGCAUUGAAAAGAAAGAAAAACUAAACAAUAAUGAAAAGGAUCUAUUCGAUUUGGAUGUAGACUCCUCUCUUAUUGUAGUGUCCAAUUUAAGGCGUGCAAUGAGCACAGCUACAUUGGCCAUGCCAAUAAACCCUCAACAUGAGGAAAGACGAUUAUAUGUGCUCCCUUUUCUACAAGAAGCAACACGUAAUGUAGAUGGGUAUCCAUUAAGCUGCUUGUCCCAAUUUUUCACUUUGUCCCGUAUUUUCCCGUCAUUAGAUACGCCUAAUUCAACAUGGGGUGCCUCAAAAAAUUUUUUUUUAAAAUCGUCAUUAAAUACUACAAAUUCACUAAUGACACUCUUUGAUCAUCAAUAUAAUACGUCUUCCGCGUACGAAUCACUAAGUUUAUUGAAGCGCUUAUCAUUAUUUGCUACAUGGAUAUUUUCGCAAAACACCCCUGCAUCAACUGCUGACACUAUCAUUAUUAUAGGACAUUCCAUUUGGUUACGUAAAUUCCUUGAACGUUAUUUACCGGUAAACGACACAUCAUGUUUUUAUCGCCUUUAAUGAUUUCUCUCACCAAAGCCUGAAUCACAGUGUCCUUAUAAAAAGUGCAAGUUGUCUUGUUGCGGAAUUCUUACAUGCAAUAUCUUAGAGUAUACUAAUCCAACAACACACGAUGUCGAUUAUUGGAUUGAUCCAACCUCAGUUCAAGAGGUUUAUAACGAAUCUAAUGAAAAGCAGUUGUCAAAUUUUCCUUAUUAACGGUAACAUUUUAAAUAACUCAACAGCCACCAAUACUUUACAAAAACCUUAUAACUUUAUGGAAAUACGCAAAUGUAGGUUUUUUUUUUUUAAUUGAAAAAAAGAUUGAAAACAAAUUAAUUUUUAAUAUUAAAAUAAUUGUUAAACAAGCUUAAUAAUUCUCAAAUGAAAUAUGGUAAAACAAACUUUAUUAUUUUUGAAUCAAAAGAAUUGUAAAGCAAGUUUAACUAUUUUUUCAUUAACAUAAUCAUAAAACAAGUGUAAACUUUUCAAGUGA
RNA transcript from Hylaeus volcanicus, 1783 nucleotides. RefSeq lists it as uncharacterized. The transcript has 6 exons. The record is from RefSeq and is a predicted model, not a curated record. Lineage: Eukaryota; Metazoa; Arthropoda; Insecta; Hymenoptera; Colletidae.